GCGGCGGGGCGCGAUCUGGUGGCGCCGGCCUGGGGGCGGUGGGGCCGGGGGCUGUGUGGUGGCAUCGCGCCCCGAGAGCUCCUCCCGCAGCGAAGGGCACCAGAAGGGAAUUUCUCUCCAACCAAGUUAGCGUACCAUCAAGAGGACAAUAGAAGCACCGGCAGGUUUUGUGAGCAGCAUGCCUGCCCGUCGCUGUCAGCCCUGCGUUACGCUUUGAAAUCCUCUAGGAGGAAGGUGGUAAAAGGGUUUUCAUCUGUAAAAUGGGAACACAGACUGAGGGUGAUGGCACUGCCACUCUCCUCCCCGCAGCAGUGGGGCCGCGGGGGCUGCCCCCCAACCUCAGGCUGCACAGCUCGCUGAGGUGAAGGGAAACAGUCUGGCCAAGUAUGCUGAUGGACUCGGGGUUGUUGUCUGGUAGGUGCUUAAUUACAGCACACUGUCAUCGGGCAGAAAACAAGUUCGCUUCACCAGAAGCCAGCCGGGUUGUGCCCACAGUGCAGCACUGUGUUUGGGAAGAACCCAUGGAUUCCUAUGGCUGCCCAGGCACGCCAAGGAGUGAGUACGUGUGUCAUGUGUGUGAGUUUGGUCAAUGACACUGUUCUGUUGGAGUAUACACAAGUGUAUGAUUUGCAAAACUAAGCAAAGAUGCAGUCCUUGUGAUCUGAGUGCACCUCAACGCUGAGAGUAAUGGUACAGCAUGAAAAGAGUGCUGCAGAUGAGGAGGCACCAUUAGGACAGGGGCUGUGACUUUGUCGGGUCACUGAGCAGAGCCAUGCAUGUCUUUGUGGUUCCACGAUUUUGCUGCAAACGUAGCACAGCUUCUGUUUGGAAACAAGCAAGAAGCAGGCACAGCUCCAACCCUGCAAAGAAGGUUGCUGUGUGGAAGAUGCCUUGAGGUUGUUCACAUGCUUAAAGUAUUUGAUAGGACUUUUUGAACUAUACUAAAACUGCUGUCAAGCAUCAGAGGUUAAAUGUGCUGGGUAAUGAAACAUUUUUCCUCUGCUUUUUCAGUUGUGAGGGCAGCCUUAAAGACUGUUACACUCUGCUCAUAUGGCCAAGUUUCUCCAGGCUUGCAAAGGGAGGAAGACCUUUCUGCAUUCUCAGAAGAGCCACUAGAAAGGAAUGGCAUUAUGAAAGUUCUUUACUGGGGCCUCCUCAGUGCCUCUGAACGGAAAGGCUCCAGUUUUACAGGAGAAGAGAGAAGAUUUGUUUCCAUUCUUAAGGUCCCACUGAAAACAUGUGGUGGAAAUGUGCACUGAGAUAAACUCAUAUGGCCUGUCCACAGCAGUUACGACAAAUUUGUGCUGUUUUUGCAACAGUCAGCAUAUCGGAGGUGGUUCAGAUAAAAUUAAUCCACUAGUCACAAUAGAACUUAGACUUUUUGUGCAAGGCAAGGAAGUAAGGAGAAUCAAAUGUGGUAGGCAGGAUUGCUCUAAAGAUCUGGAAUCCCCCAAAGCUUGUGUGAUGUACUUGUAUGAUACUUAACUGUAGAGCUUAGGGGCUAAUUCAUAUGUUUAGCAUAAUUACAUGCUUAAGUGCUUUGCCAGAUUCAGGAAUAAAUAAGUUGGGAUUGUAACA
Numida meleagris (helmeted guineafowl) is the source of this 1578-nucleotide long non-coding RNA. The record is from Ensembl. Lineage: Eukaryota; Metazoa; Chordata; Aves; Galliformes; Numididae.